UCCUACGGGGGGCAGCAGUGAGGAAUAUUGGUCAAUGGCCGGAAGGCUGAACCAGCCAAGCCGCGUGAAGGACGAAGGUGCCAAGCAUUGUAAACUUCUUUUGUCAAGGGACAAAAUCAGGCUCGAGAGCCUGACCGAGGGUACUUGAAGAAAAAGCAUCGGCUAACUCCGUGCCAGCAGCCGCGGUAAUACGGAGGAUGCGAGCGUUAUCCGGAUUUAUUGGGUUUAAAGGGUGCGUAGGCGGAUUUUUAAGUCAGCGGUAAAAUGUCCGGGCUCAACCCGGGCCGGCCGUUGAAACUGGGGAU
Molecule: ribosomal RNA, 305 nt
Filed under: uncultured bacterium
Lineage: Bacteria
Description: bacterial SSU rRNA
Rfam family: Bacterial small subunit ribosomal RNA
Source: RNAcentral